UACGUAGGGCGCAAGCGUUAUCCGGAAUUAUUGGGCGUAAAGAGCUCGUAGGCGGUUUGUCGCGUCUGCCGUGAAAGUCCGGGGCUCAACUCCGGAUCUGCGGUGGGUACGGGCAGACUAGAGUGAUGUAGGGGAGACUGGAAUUCCUGGUGUAGCGGUGAAAUGCGCAGAUAUCGGGAGGAACACCGAUGGCGAAGGCAGGUCUCUGGGCAUUAACUGACGCUGAGGAGCGAAAGCGUGGGGAGCAAACAGG
RNAcentral lists this ribosomal RNA (253 nucleotides) under uncultured bacterium. RNAcentral describes it as "partial 16S ribosomal RNA". It matches the Rfam family "Bacterial small subunit ribosomal RNA", at positions 524 to 776 of the family's 1533-position model. The record is from RNAcentral.